UGGGCUUCCAACCAAAAAUCCCUAUUUUAUCUAUACCUCCAUAACUGAUUGAUUUAUGCGCUUUAUAUUUUCAAUGGCUUUUUAACUUCAUAUUUUAUCUACUCAAUAUACCAGUCUGAUUACAAUUGCUUUGCAAAUAUGGUUACACAACUUCAUGAUAUCAAACAAAUUCCAAGCAACUCGAUGCAAUGAAAUCUCAAAAUUAGAGUCGUUCGAAUGUGGGUAAUGUCGGCUCACUUUAAGCCGGAAAUACCGUAUUCAAUUGAAUUGGCUUUACAUGAUUCGAAGACGAAUUAGAUGCAAAUGACAGUAAGGGAAAAAAUUUCAAUCAUCAUUAAAGGUUCAACUUGCAAUUGCUGAAGCCAAAAAGGAGCUCCUGGAGAGGCAUCAUAGCUUUAUUUUUCAAGCUGGGGAGCAAUAUGCUGAAUUUGUAGCACAUGCUAUGUUGUUGGAAUCUGACAUUCAGACUGCUGCUCCAAAUCAACUACUAGACUGCUUAAGCCACUGCUUCAAAUUUGGCAGUAGCACUGGAGAUGAUGUUCAUCGUAAGCUUUCAAAGGUGAUUGGAUAUCUACCUUGUGUGUGUACUUAUGAUAUCAUAUCCUCAUUAUAAUAUAGCUAGAUGUUUUGUCUCUUCUUUUU
Molecule: non-coding RNA, 642 nt
Organism: Nicotiana tabacum (common tobacco)
Lineage: Eukaryota; Viridiplantae; Streptophyta; Magnoliopsida; Solanales; Solanaceae
Source: RefSeq, a predicted model, not a curated record